This 321-nucleotide ribosomal RNA is filed under the name uncultured eukaryote. RNAcentral's name for it is "partial 18S ribosomal RNA". It matches the Rfam family "Eukaryotic small subunit ribosomal RNA", at positions 1470 to 1796 of the family's 1831-position model. The record is from RNAcentral.
CCCUUAGACGUUCUGGGCCGCACGCGCGCUACACUGACUAGUCCAACGAGUGUUUGUACCUUUGCUGAUAGGCAUGGGCAAUCUCUGAACGCUAGUCGUGAUAGGGAUCGAUUUUUGGAAUUAUUAAUCGUCAACGAGGAAUUCCUAGUAAACGCGAGUCAUCAGCUCGCAUUGAUUACGUCCCUGCCCUUUGUACACACCGCCCGUCGCACCUACCGAUUGAAUGGUCCGGUGAAGCCUCCGGAUUGGACGUGCUGACCCUGUCAGCCGGCCGAGAAGUUGGCUAAAUCUUACCAUUUAGAGGAAGGUGAANUCGUAACA